Molecule: long non-coding RNA, 230 nt
Organism: Lolium rigidum
Lineage: Eukaryota; Viridiplantae; Streptophyta; Magnoliopsida; Poales; Poaceae
Exons: 3
Source: RefSeq, a predicted model, not a curated record
CUGGCUUUCCAGAUCCAUUCGUGUAACUGAUUUGCUUCUCUCCCAACAAAGCUUCCUGGCUUAUUUCUUUGGUAAACGGCGAGGCCACGGGCAGGUGAUUCUGAAAGCAGUGAACUCUAAUGUUCCUCCAUGAAUGGAUCUUAGCUAAUGCCUUCAUUGACAUUGGUAGUACUGAAGAGAAGGAGGAUGGCAUAUCUCGGUUUGUGUACACCACCUGGGUUCAUGUGCAC